RNAcentral lists this unclassified non-coding RNA (249 nucleotides) under plant metagenome. RNAcentral describes it as "partial contains small subunit ribosomal RNA, internal transcribed spacer 1, and 5.8S ribosomal RNA". The stretch from base 201 to 249 matches the Rfam family "5.8S ribosomal RNA", at positions 1 to 49 of the family's 154-position model. The record is from RNAcentral.
UCUCCGUAGGUGAACUUGCGGAGGGAUCAUUACAGAGUUCAUGCCCUACCGGGUAGAUCUCCCACCCUAUGUUAUUAUUACUUUGUUGCUUUGGCGGGCCGUUAGGCUCCGGCCCGACUACCGGCCCCGGCUGGUAAGCGCCCGCCAGAGGACCCAAAACCCUGAAUAUUAGUGUCGUCUGAGUACUAUAUAAUAGUUAAAACUUUCAACAACGGAUCUCUUGGUUCUGACAUCGAUGAAGAACGCAGC